Fukomys damarensis (Damara mole-rat) is the source of this 933-nucleotide long non-coding RNA. RefSeq lists it as uncharacterized. NCBI's taxonomy places the organism in Eukaryota, Metazoa, Chordata, Mammalia, Rodentia, Bathyergidae. The record is from RefSeq and is a predicted model, not a curated record. The transcript has 3 exons.
CCCUGUGUGUCACCAAGUGUGCUCCUCUGUUAGCACCCCUGCCCCCAGCUCUGCCCUAGCUCUGCAGCCUCUCCACUCCAGUGGGCAGGAAGCUCUUCCCCAGGGACCUCCAUUUUCAUGGCCAAGUUGCCAACAUGCUGGGAUGGAGCAGAAGACGUAGGAGAACUCUGCACGUCACAACGGAGACAAGGGCUCCCCCGUACUGUGUGAAGACACAGAGCCUGCCUGUGUGGAAUCACGUUUGCUGCCAUCUGAAGAGCAGUCAGCUUUUUCACCUGAUGAUCAGUUGGGAACCAUGUUGUUACUGAAAUUCCUUUCCCCGGAACUAACAUCAAAGCAACCAGGAGGAUGCUUUGUUCUUACCAAUCAAAUUUCAGACAGAGAAGAAACUUGACUUCCAAGGUUGGUAUGAUGUGGACAAGAGCAGAGAGGGAAGAAUGGCCCAAGAAGAAGGAACAGCAGGAUCAAGAGGAGGCCGAAAAAAUUGGAAGGAAGUCUAGGUAAGUGGACUGCAUCAUGUGAAUUAAGUGAAGACUGGAAGGACGUGUGUAGGAAGAGGAAAGUUAGGUCAGUUUGGGCCAUGUUAUUUAUGGAGAAUGUUGACAUCAGACUAAGGAGGGAGAGCUUUAUCCAUGUGAUUAUAGAGAAUCACUGAGAAUUUUUAGAUUAAUAUCUGUUUCUUUUAUAAUUUUUGAAAGCAAUAUGUGACCGAUGUAGAAAAACUGGGAACUAAGAAAGACAGAACUAAAUAACUAUCAUUAACUUCACACCUCUUUGUUAAUAUUUGGAGUUUAUCUUCCAGUCUUUAUACACAUACAUGUUUUCCCCCCCAAUAACCUUCUUAUACUUUUAUAAUACAUAACAACACACUAAUUUAAUGUUUGGUUUGUCUUUUAGCAUAGUACAUGUCUAUUGUAAAUAAAUAAGAAAAUG